RNAcentral lists this ribosomal RNA (485 nucleotides) under uncultured bacterium. Its description in RNAcentral is "bacterial SSU rRNA". It matches the Rfam family "Bacterial small subunit ribosomal RNA", at positions 311 to 788 of the family's 1533-position model. The record is from RNAcentral.
CACUGGGACUGAGACACGGCCCAGACUCCUACGGGAGGCAGCAGUGGGGAAUUUUGGACAAUGGGCGCAGGCCUGAUCCAGCAAUGCCGCGUGCAGGAUGAAGGCCUUCGGGUUGUAAACUGCUUUUGUACGGAACGAAACGGCGAGCUCUAAUACAGUUUGCUAAUGACGGUACCGUAAGAAUAAGCACCGGCUAACUACGUGCCAGCAGCCGCGGUAAUACGUAGGGUGCGAGCGUUAAUCGGAAUUACUGGGCGUAAAGCGUGCGCAGGCGGUUAUGUAAGACAGAUGUGAAAUCCCCGGGCUUAACCUGGGAACUGCAUUUGUGACUGCAUAGCUAGAGUACGGUAGAGGGGGAUGGAAUUCCGCGUGUAGCAGUGAAAUGCGUAGAUAUGCGGAGGAACACCGAUGGCGAAGGCAAUCCCCUGGACCUGUACUGACGCUCAUGCACGAAAGCGUGGGGAGCAAACAGGAUUAGAUACCCU